AUGUUUGUAAUCAACCUUCUUCUACUUAUUAUCCCUGCCAUCCUCACAAUAGCAUUCUUAACAUUGAUUGAAGUAAAAAUUUUAGGUUACAUACAACUUCGUAAAGAUCCCAACAUUGUAGGCCCAUUUGGCCUACUCCAACCCUUUGCAGAUGCAAUUAAACUGUUCAUUAAAGAACCAUUACAACAACUAACAUCAUCUAUUCCCCUUUACAUUAUUGCUCCAACCCUUGUGCUCAUCAUAUAGAUCCGCCUCCCCAUACCUUACCCCUUGGUUAAUGUAAAUAUAGGAGUAUUAUUCAUCUUGGCCACAUCAAGCCUAGUCGUCUACUCAAUCCUAUCAUCAGAAUGAGCAUCCAAUUCAAAAUAUGCCUUGAUCGGCACAUUGCAAGCUGUAGCGCAAACAAUUUUAUACGAAGUUACCCUGGCCAUUACUAUAAGUCCUUUUGCAGAGUAGGUAUUUCACCUGGUCAACUCUUAUUAUUACACUGGAGUUUGUCAUGAUCCCUGUCCAUGACUAAUCUCAACCCUAGCAGAAACCAAUGAAGUCCAUUUGAUUUAACAGAAGGUGAAUGAAAGCUAGUCUCAGGCUUAACAUCGAAUACACUACAGGCCCAUUUCCUGUAUUCUUCAUAGCAGAAUAUACUAAUAUUAUUAUAAUAAACACCCUAACCACUAUCAUUUUUCUAGGAGCAUUACAUGAUAUCUUCAUACCAGAAUUAUAUACAAUUAGUUUCAUUACUAAAACUGUUCUAUUAACAACCCUCUUCCUAUGAAUUCAAGCAUCAUACCUAUGAUUCCAAUAUGACCAACUUAUACAACUCUUAAUGAAAAAGAUUUCUAUCUCUUACACUAGCGUUAUGCGUAUGACACCUUUCAGUGCCCAUCGUAAUAUCUAGUAUCCUGCCACAAACAUAA
Molecule: long non-coding RNA, 917 nt
Filed under: Homo sapiens (human)
Lineage: Eukaryota; Metazoa; Chordata; Mammalia; Primates; Hominidae
Description: non-protein coding lnc-SPANXN4-3:1
Source: RNAcentral